This 465-nucleotide ribosomal RNA is filed under the name Vreelandella stevensii. Its description in RNAcentral is "partial 16S ribosomal RNA". It matches the Rfam family "Bacterial small subunit ribosomal RNA", at positions 338 to 795 of the family's 1533-position model. The record is from RNAcentral. Lineage: Bacteria; Pseudomonadati; Pseudomonadota; Gammaproteobacteria; Oceanospirillales; Halomonadaceae.
CCUACGGGGGGCUGCAGUGGGGAAUAUUGGACAAUGGGGGGAACCCUGAUCCAGCCAUGCCGCGUGUGUGAAGAAGGCCCUCGGGUUGUAAAGCACUUUCAGUGAGGAAGAACGCCUGGUGGUUAAUACCCAUCAGGAAAGACAUCACUCACAGAAGAAGCACCGGCUAACUCCGUGCCAGCAGCCGCGGUAAUACGGAUGGUGCGAGCGUUAAUCGGAAUUACUGGGCGUAAAGCGCGCGUAGGUGGCUUGAUAAGCCGGUUGUGAAAGCCCCGGGCUCAACCUGGGAACGGCAUCCGGAACUGUCAAGCUAGAGUGCAGGAGAGGAAGGUAGAAUUCCCGGUGUAGCGGUGAAAUGCGUAGAGAUCGGGAGGAAUACCAGUGGCGAAGGCGGCCUUCUGGACUGACACUGACACUGAGGUGCGAAAGCGUGGGUAGCAAACAGGAUUAGAUACCCCAGUAGUC